RNAcentral lists this ribosomal RNA (457 nucleotides) under uncultured bacterium. Its description in RNAcentral is "bacterial SSU rRNA". It matches the Rfam family "Bacterial small subunit ribosomal RNA", at positions 340 to 789 of the family's 1533-position model. The record is from RNAcentral.
UACGGAAGGCAGCAGUGGGGAAUAUUGCACAAUGGGCGAAAGCCUGAUGCAGCUAUGCCGCGUGUAUGAAGAAGGCCUUAGGGUUGUAAAGUACUUUCAUCGGGGAGGAAAAACAAAACUAAUAAUUUUAUUUCUUGACGUUACCCGAAAAAGAAGCACCGGCUAACUCCGUGCCAGCAGCCGCGGUAAUACGGAGGGUGCUAGCGUUAAUCAGAAUUACUGGGCGUAAAGAGCACGUAGGUGGUUUUUUUAAGUCAGAUGUGAAAUCCCUGGGCUUAACCUGGAACUGCAUUUUGAAACUGAAAUACUAGAGUAUCGUAGAGGGAGGUAGAAUUCUAGGUGUAGCGGUGAAAUGCGUAGAUAUCUGGAGGAAUACCUGUGGCGAAAGCGGCCUCCUAAACGAAUACUGACACUGAGGUGCGAAAGCUGGGGAGCAAACAGGGACUUAGAUACCCGU